AGCUCAUCAAGAGAGGUGGAGGGACUGGCCCUGUGAAGCCCGGCAACCGCGUAAAGGCGGUGCCAAUUCCGACAGGUAUUUUUUAAAAAUUACCUGAGAGAUGAGAG
RNAcentral lists this non-coding RNA (107 nucleotides) under Chloroflexota bacterium. RNAcentral's name for it is "Chloroflexi bacterium SAM-I sequence". It matches the Rfam family "SAM riboswitch aptamer (S box leader)". Rfam says of the family: The SAM riboswitch is found upstream of a number of genes which code for proteins involved in methionine or cysteine biosynthesis in Gram-positive bacteria. The SAM riboswitch acts at the level of transcription termination control. The predicted structure consists of a complex stem-loop region followed by a single stem loop terminator region. The record is from RNAcentral. Lineage: Bacteria; Bacillati; Chloroflexota.